Molecule: unclassified non-coding RNA, 227 nt
Filed under: Hevea brasiliensis (rubber tree)
Lineage: Eukaryota; Viridiplantae; Streptophyta; Magnoliopsida; Malpighiales; Euphorbiaceae
Source: RNAcentral
AAGGAGGCGACCUGGAGUGAUCCCUCCUUGAUCUCCCACCAUAAGGGGGAGAGUGUCUAGGGGAGUACUCUCGAGCUCCUCGAUAUGGUGAGCGUCUUGGAGACCGACGGUACCCAUAGUCAUCGCGGAAGGAGCCGCCACCACGAUACCUACUACCUCGAUCGCCACGGUAGCCAGAGUCUCUGGUGCUUUUCAACCCCAAAUAGUGUCCUGGCGUUGGAGUUCUU